RNAcentral lists this ribosomal RNA (388 nucleotides) under uncultured bacterium. RNAcentral's name for it is "bacterial SSU rRNA". It matches the Rfam family "Bacterial small subunit ribosomal RNA", at positions 28 to 420 of the family's 1533-position model. The record is from RNAcentral.
GACGAACGCUGGCGGCGUGCUUAACACAUGCAAGUCGAGCGGUAAGGCCCUUCGGGUACACGAGCGGCGAACGGGUGAGUAACACGUGGGUGACCUGCCUCUAGCUCUGGGAUAAGCCUGGGAAACUGGGUCUAAUACCGGAUAUGACUCCACGGCGCAUGUUGUGGGGUGGAAAGCCUUGUGCGGCUAGAGAUGGGCCCGCGGCCUAUCAGCUUGUUGGUGGGGUGAUGGCCUACCAAGGCGACGACGGGUAGCCGGCCUGAGAGGGCGACCGGCCACACUGGGACUGAGACACGGCCCAGACUCCUACGGGAGGCAGCAGUGGGGAAUCUUGCGCAAUGGGCGAAAGCCUGACGCAGCGACGCCGCGUGAGGGAUGACGGCCUCGG